This is a long non-coding RNA of Ostrea edulis (European flat oyster), 707 nucleotides long. RefSeq lists it as uncharacterized. The transcript has 3 exons. The record is from RefSeq and is a predicted model, not a curated record. NCBI's taxonomy places the organism in Eukaryota, Metazoa, Mollusca, Bivalvia, Ostreida, Ostreidae.
GCGUUCAAGAUCGUAGCGGCUACGUAGGGCUCGGUAGCGCUACGAUCUUGAACGAUGUGCUAGGUUAGCCCCUACGUAGGGAAAGCUAGCAUAAAAAUUUAGUGCUAGAUUCUAAAGCAAAAUGGCGGAAAAUUCGAGAUCUUACUGAAAUGAGAAUGAUUUUAGCUUAUAUGAACGAUAAUAUUCGGAACAAGUAAAAUCUUUCCGGAAUACGUCACCGCGAUUGUUUUAUUCUACUACUAGAAGUUGUUUACGGGAUUCGAAAAGGCGAGACAAGAAGAACCACUGUGAGUUUGUUACAACUGGCUUUGGGCUGCAUUCUCAAACACACACUCUUUAAGUCAUAAGGCAGUUGGAUUUGGUACUGGUGAAGGUUGAAAUCAUGGUUCUGAAGAAUGAGUUAUGAUGGAAGUGAUACAAUGAUGGGACAUUUAACAUCAUACCAGAAUUAAAGAGUCAAUAAAAAGAUUCUUGAAUGAUCAACUUCCAUUGGGGAUGAAGGAUGAAUGAAAAAUCUGUAAAUGAUAUUUUGAUUCAAAUUAAGUAAUAUUUUAUAUAUAAUGAUUCAGAAACAUGCUUGCUACCCAAUCUCGCAUGUAUUAAAAAUUAUGCAUGUUGCAUAAACAGUAUCCGUUGCAUUAGAUUAGAAUACAACUUUAUUAUGAUAUAAAGAAUUUAAAAAAAAAAAAAAUAAAAUUAAUAUGACA